AUCGAAGUUGUUGGUACCCGCAACAAGUAAUAGCUGAUCCCCUGGACUUGCCGCAAGUCAUCGCGCAAGUCAAGGACAGCAUGAAAAACCCCGCCAAGGCGGGGUUUU
This 108-nucleotide small RNA is filed under the name Janthinobacterium sp. 61. The record is from RNAcentral. Lineage: Bacteria; Pseudomonadati; Pseudomonadota; Betaproteobacteria; Burkholderiales; Oxalobacteraceae.